Molecule: long non-coding RNA, 1038 nt
Filed under: Papio anubis (olive baboon)
Lineage: Eukaryota; Metazoa; Chordata; Mammalia; Primates; Cercopithecidae
Description: lncRNA (ENSPANG00000048960.1)
Source: RNAcentral
GGACUGAAUAUGCUAUAAAUAGGGGAGGAGAGAGAAGGGAGGUUGUGGUUUUAAACAGAAUGUCAGAAUAGGCCUCAUUGGUAGGACAACACUUGCAGAAAGGCUUGAAUCAGAAAUGUGAGAUUUGAUCAUGCCAGUGCAUUGGUGAAGAUGGUCAUGGACAGAGGGAAUAACCAGGGCAAAGGUUCUGUGUUAGCCUAUUCAGGCUGCUAUAGCAAACUACACAAACUGGGUAGCUUAAACAACAGUUUUCCCAGCUGCAUAGGCUGAAUGUCCAAGGUCUGGGUGCCAGCAUGCAUGGGUUCCUGGUAAGGGCCUGCUCUUUUUCAUCCCUUUUUAAGAGCCCCAGUCCAAUCCUAGGGGCUCCACCCGAAACCUAAUCACCUCCCAAAGGCCCAACCUCCAAAUACCAUCACAUUGGAGACUAGGUUUCAACAUAUGAAUUUUAGGGGGACACAAACAUUUAGUCUAUAGUAGGUCUCAGGUUCCAAUUCCAGGGGUAUUGGAACAGCAUAGAAGCCAGCAUGCCUAGAGCAGAUAGUGUGAUAACUAAGAGGUGAGAAGUGAGAAUUAACGGGGACACAGGUCACAGAGGACUUUGCAGGCUGUUUGAAGAACUGUGUGUUUUUUUCCCAAGGAUCAUGGGAGCUCUGACAGGGUUUUGAUCAGAUGAAUGAUGUGAUUCACUUUCAACACUAGAUCUUACAGUCUGAGCUACAUGAAGAGAGACAAUCAAUCUCUCUCCCUUUUUCUUUUUAGGCCCUGUUACCCAGGGAGCAGGUCAAGCAUCCACCCAUCACCAAACAUUGUUUCCCAAGAUGCUGUUGCUUGGUUGGGAACAUGACCUAAUGGUGGCUACCAUUCAGCUCUUUCCAACUCCAUGUUCUGUGACUUCAUAUUGGUAAGUUGAAAUCUACUAUGGCGCAAGUAUUUACACUACAGAAAUUGGCAAAAUCUGUGAUUUAGUGCUUUUUCCUCCUGAAAAGCUGGCCGUUGAACAUUUACCAGCAUAUGACAGGGUAUAAGAGUUAAAGGAAC